RNAcentral lists this ribosomal RNA (253 nucleotides) under uncultured bacterium. RNAcentral's name for it is "partial 16S ribosomal RNA". It matches the Rfam family "Bacterial small subunit ribosomal RNA", at positions 524 to 776 of the family's 1533-position model. The record is from RNAcentral.
UACGUAGGGGGCGAGCGUUGUCCGGAGUUACUGGGCGUAAAGCGCACGCAGGCGGUCUGCUAAGUUUGGAGUGACAGUUGGUGGCUUAACUGCCAAAGUGCUUCGAAAACUGACAGACUUGAGGGCUUCAGAGGGACACGGAAUCCGGGUGGAGUGGUGAAAUGCGUAGAGAUCCGGAGGAACACCAAAGGCGAAGGCAGUGUCCUGGGGAGUACCUGACGCUCGAGGUGCGAAAGCCAGGGGAGCGAACGGG